Non-coding RNA from Brachypodium distachyon (stiff brome), 136 nucleotides. The record is from Rfam. NCBI's taxonomy places the organism in Eukaryota, Viridiplantae, Streptophyta, Magnoliopsida, Poales, Poaceae.
CUUGUAUUUCCUCCGUCCAAUAAAAGAUGUCUCAAAUUUAACUAAAUUUAAAUGUAUAUAUACACUAAAUCAUGUUUCGAUACAUCUAAAUUUUAACAAACUUGAGAUAUAUUUUGUUGGACGGAAGGAGUAUAUU